ACGUCACGUCGAGGGCGCCGGGUCCCGGAGGCGCGGACUGGAGUUGUCCCGCCCCAGCAAUCUGGUAGAGAGUUUAAAUUUAGUCCUAUGGCUGGAAACCGACAUUACCUGCACUAGCUUUAUUUUUCCAAGAGAACUUUUGCGAAACGGAAGCUACGACACCUAGCUUACCUGACAGGGGCAUUUUUGAGGCAAGAAGCCAGGCUAAUAUUGAUCAGAAGUUGAUGAUGGAGAUGAUGCUGGAAAGGAUGGAGUAGGUGCUGGAGAAUCAGGAUUUGAUUCUGUUCCAGGAGGAGGGGAGCUUACCACUAAGAUGAUAUGGGUGACCUGUAAGAGUAGCUGGUGCCCUUUGCCAUAGAGCUGCACGCACACCUGGCCCAGCUUAUCGAGAAGCAGAAGGAGAAGAUCCAGUGGAAUCUGGAGAUACUGUAGGCCUGGCUGUUAACCCCUUCCUAUGAGAUACGCUUGGAGAAGAUCAGCAAUAAGAGGAUAACAAAUCAGCAAAAUAACAUGAUUAACAAAAAAAUUGUGGGUAGCAAAAGAAUAAGGGAAGGAGAAUAGAGGCAUAAAAAUGCAUGAUCAAAAGGAAGAACAGAGUGUAGUAGUGAAUAUCGUAGUGGAAAGGCAGUAUGAACAGGCUAAGUCCCUGCCAAUCCUAAACACACCAGUGACAGUGGUGUGACAAGGGUCUCAUCUAAACCACUAAGAUAUUUGGGUUUUAGAAUUGAAAAGACCCAAAGGACAAGAAAAUGACAGAUAUUCUGAGUGUAACCAGGAGAUGGAAGAUUCACAAGGAGAAUCAGCAUCUGUGAAUGGUGACUACAACAAAUCUAUAUGGCUGAAUGCUACUUGUUUUCUAAAUUCCUAUGUUAUAUACCUAGUGCAGUGAUAACCAAGUGUUGGAAAAAUGCAGGUAAUCCUCCAGGUGAACCUUGACAAUCUGGUUAUACUGUAACGCCAGGACCUCUGAAAGCAGCAGGUGAUUGGCCAGCUGCCUCACCACUUGCAGCCCUGGGCCUUGGAGAAAGAGACAUGUGCAAGAAUUGAGACUCAGAAAGAUAAUUAUGGAAAGCAGAACAGUAACUUCCCUAAAGUCAAACAUACAGAUGUGAUGAUGGAAGAAGGAUCAAAAAGAUGCAAUGUCGCUGGCUUUCCAGAUGGGGAAAUGGGACCAUGAGUCAUGCGGAGACUCAUGAGAGAAUGCAGGCAGUCUCCAGAAACUGAAAAAGGUAUAACUUGAGACCUGGGAGUUAAAAGAAGCAGACCUUGGGAGAGAGACCCAAACAGAUAAUGAUACAGUUAAAUAUCCAUGUUUUCUGGGGGGAGAGGGGGUUGUGUUUGUAAUAGGUAAAAUACUGAAGGGAAGCUUAAAUCAACUCUCUUCAUAAUGGUAUGUUCACUAGAUAAAAAUUUAAGCUUUUAAAAAUAA
Molecule: non-coding RNA, 1429 nt
Organism: Microcebus murinus (gray mouse lemur)
Lineage: Eukaryota; Metazoa; Chordata; Mammalia; Primates; Cheirogaleidae
Source: RefSeq, a predicted model, not a curated record